RNAcentral lists this ribosomal RNA (266 nucleotides) under uncultured bacterium. RNAcentral's name for it is "partial 16S ribosomal RNA". It matches the Rfam family "Bacterial small subunit ribosomal RNA", at positions 88 to 354 of the family's 1533-position model. The record is from RNAcentral.
CAUCUUAGUGGCGGACGGGUGAGUAACGCGUGGGUAACCUGCCUUAUACAGGGGGAUAACACUUAGAAAUAGGUGCUAAUACCGCAUAAGCGCACGGGGCUGCAUGGCCCAGUGUGAAAAACUCCGGUGGUAUAAGAUGGACCCGCGUCUGAUUAGCUUGUUGGCGGGGUAACGGCCCACCAAAGCGACGAUCGGUAGCCGGCCUGAGAGGGCGGACGGCCACAUUGGGACUGAGACACGGCCCAAACUCCUACGGAAGGCAGCAG